GCUUUACAUAAAGCAUAUCAGCUGUUUCAAAGUCCCAACCAUUUGUCUUCCUAAAAUACUGGUCCUUCCGUAUAACAAUAACCUCGUAUGUGAUUGGAGGACCCUUAGACUCCUCGUCCAAUCACGUGUGAGGUCAUAGGCAUGACUCAGACAGCAGUACUUGCAAGACGAGCAUACAAACAGACACGUGUGUUACUAUAUUCAGAAGAACUGUAUCUCCAGUUCCUUUGUUUGGUUUUUGCUGGUUCGUGAAUAAUGGCGGGACGACGUCUCGCGUUCAACUCGCCUUCAACUCCUCUCCGCGGUCACCAACUUUCGGCCAGUCCGCAGACAGAUGAGAAGAAGCUGCUGAAUGAUCUCAGUGGAUCGUCUCGUCAACUCCAACAACAAACUGCCGAUAUCAACGAGCGGUUCGCUCCACUGGAGCGUUCGGGACUCUGCGGGUUUCUGUCCAUGGAGGAGAGGAACCGACUCAAAGAAGAGGAGACGGGCGCACAAUCCCACGAUAGGGAAGCGGUGCGCCGUCUUCACAACUCCGAGACGAACUACAGGCGCCACGAACCGGAGCAAGGGUAAGAUUUAAAGAAUAUGCUUUCAUUCUGCGGGAUAAGGAAAUAUACACGUAUAGAUACGAUCAUAACUGUACAUUUAGUUUUCACAGACUAAUCUCGCCUCAUAAUGAGCCGGUGACCUCGUAUUUGCUCCGGGAAAAGUCCAGAUUUAGACGACGUCAUUGUGUGUAAGUGACACUGUUUCUCCUUCCUUGUUAAAUGUUACUGUGACUUGCGUUUGAUUUUCUUUUUGUAUUCAUACCACUCAUUUAAGAGUGAGACGUAUUUUGAGACGGGACGCAGGAGCUUCAGGUUCAGGCGGAACACUCAUUGCGGAGUUCAGCGCGGAGUCGAGCGAGAAGAAAGAGGGUCAGAGUUUAUUUGCUGACUUGUUUCAGGUGCAUUGAUCGAUGUGUUGUGUCCGUACGCAUCGCACAGUACUGAUUCAUUGUUGUUUUUACAGCUGCUGGAAUCGAGACAAAGUGUGCUGGCUGAUGACGAGGUGGAACGCUGGAACUCCGCCACCGUAGAGCUCACGUCGGGCGGAGGGGACGGCGUUGUUGGCGGGGUCUCAGGUGGAUUGUACGGUCGCCACACACACACGAGCCGCCUGCACAACAGACCUGCCUCGGAAAACACGGCGCCAGUGACGGUCUACAACCCCGAGGAGGCAAACGGACAGUUUACUGAGCUGUAGUUUUUAAACCGCCGUUACCCAAGUGUGGGCAGAUCCUCACUUUGUAUGUAGUUGUUGUUUGUGUGUUGUUAAUAAAGCUCUUUCUUUGCAUAAACAUGUGGCAAAUGUUCAUUUUCAAAAUGCGCGUUCAACUCGCCUUCAACUCCUCUCCGCGGUCACCAACUUUCGGCCAGUCCGCAGACAGACGAGAAGAAGCUGCUGAUGCUCUCAGUGGAUCGUCUCGUCAACUCCAACAACAAACUGCCGAUAUCAACGAGCGGUUCGCUCCACUGGAGCAGUCGGGACUCUGCGGGUUUCUGUUCAUGGAGGAGAGGAACCGACUCAAAGAAGAGGAGACGGGCGCACAAUCCCAAGAUAGCGGUAAGAAUACGUUUGAUGACUGCUAGCUAAGCUAAAAGUAGCGUAGCCUCAAGCUAAGCUAAGAGUAGCCUAGUAGCCUUACAAGUGAGCAGAAACAGCUUUAUUAAAGUGUGUUUUCUUUGCCGUGUCGUUUACAGGAAGCGCUGCGCCGUCUUCACAACUCCGAGACGAACUACAAGCGCUACGAACCGGAGAAAGGGUCAGAUGUAAAGAAUAUGCUUUCAUCCUGCGGUAUAAGGGAAUAUAUACGUAAAGAUACCAUAGGAUGGAUACCGAUCAUAACUGUACAUUUUGUUUUCACAGACUAAUCGCGCCUCAUAAUGAGGCGGUGACCUCGUAUUUGCUCCGGGAAAAGUCCAGAUUUAGACGACGUCAUUGUGUGUAAGUAACGCCGUUUACUGUUUCUCCUUCCUUGUUAAAUGUUACUGUGACUUGCGUUUGAUUUUUUUUGUAUUCAUAUCACACUCAUUUAAUUGUUUUCCAGCUCCCUGUGAGACGUAUUUUGAGACGGAACGCAGGAGCUUCAGGUUUUCCAGCCGGAACACUCAUUGCAGAGUUCAGCGCGGAGUCGAGCGAGAAGAAAGCAGGUCAGAGUUUAUUUGCUGACUUUUUCAGGUGCAUUGAUCGAUGUGUUGUGUCCGUACGCAUCGCACAGUACUGAUUCAUUGUUGUUUUUACAGCUGCUGGAAUCGAGACAAAGUGUGCUGGCUGAUGACGAGGUGGAACGCUGGAAAUCCGCCACCGUAGAGCUCACGUCGGGCGGAGGGGACGGCGUUGUUGGCGGGGUCUCGGGGUGGAUUGUACGGUCGCCACACGCACACGAGCCGCCUGCACAACAGACCUGCCUCGGAAAACACGGCGCCAGUGACGGUCAACAACCCCGAGGAGGCAAACGGACAGUUUACUGAGCUGUAGUUUUUAAACCGCCGUUACCCAAGUGUGGGCAGAUCCUCACUUUGUAUGUAGUUGUUGUUUGUGUGUUGUUAAUAAAGCUCUUUCUUUGCAUAAACAUGUGGCAAAUGUUCAUUUUCUCUAUAAAUUCAUUGAUGUCCUGGUUGGUAUCCUAAUAAUAGUGUAGUAGCCUACAUAGGAUAACCAUGAAAUGAAUAUACAGCAUAAUAUGAAUAUAUAAAUAAAAUGAGGUGACCAAUAGCGACAGAUCUGCCAACCAAUCACGAGUGAUUGAAAGUUGUUUUCAUCCAAUCAUGAACAAGGAAACUCGAGCCUGGUCUGCCCACGUGUGGUUUUGCUGCCAAUAACGAGUGAUUUUAUUUGUUCGUAAGUUGUGGUUUCAUCCAAUAAGGAGUAAGGAUAUUCAAGCCCGCUUGGCUCGGCCACCCGCGGUUUUGCUGCAUUCAUAUGCUAAUUCGGGCCAUUCGCAACUCCGCCAGCUCUCCACCUACGUCAUGGUUCGUUUCCGACAAUUUGUGGCACAGACAAACGCGACGUGCGCGGGUUGCAAAUUGUCGCCCCCCCCCGUAUGGCAUAAGCUAACAACAACCCGUGUCUUAACACUAGCAUAGCGGCUAACACGUGUGAUGUUACUAGAUGUUACUGGUUACUGUUAAGGUAAAGAACUCCAUCACCCAGCAUUCCCUAGUCAGUGGUGAGGGACAUGCGCAGAGCGGAGCGCGGCAGACCCCGGGUAGCAUUACAGCGGACAGUGCUAGUUGACAUUAAAAGUUCAUGAAACGUAUAUCACGCCUCGUCUGCUUCUUAUAAGAUUGAACAAGUUACAACAUGGUGUCAGAAGUGGCCGUGAGCAGCUAAUGAAGAUAGAUUUGCCACGGGAGAACGACGAGAAAAAGAGAGAAAAAAAAAGAAAUCUCCGGUCGCGUGAGGUAACGUGCUAACAAGUCAACAUGCUAAAAGAGUUUACUAAUUCGUGUGAUGGCUACAAGUGGCAGCGGAAGUGAAGCGGGAGAUGAAGGACAGAUCGAACAUGUAGAAGAGGAUCUUGUGCCUGAAGCAGAGGACAACCGGCAACGCGAGAGGGCUGGGGAAGUCCCUGUACCCCGACUUUCAGUAAUGGAGAGGCUAAGUCCACCUACUUCCAUGCAACUGACUGGUAAUCUUGCUCAUAAUUGGAAGCGUUUUAAGCAACGAUUCAAUAUAUAUUUAGCAGCAAGUGGAGCAGGGGCUGAUGAUGAAAAACUGAAAGCUCACAAUCUUUUGCAUGUUAUGGGAGAAGAUGCUUUGGACAUAUAUAAUAGCUUUCAGUUGGAUGAAGCUACUAUGACCUUAGCAGAAUUAAUGAUAAAGUUUGAAGAGUACUUUGUGCCUAGCCAGAACGUGACGUUUGAGAGGUACAAGUUUUUCACCCAUGACCAGAAGCAAGGAAUACAUUUCGAUCAGUACUUAGCAGAGCUUCACACAUUAAGCAAAACAUGUGAAUUUGGCAUCCUGAGAGAUUCUCUAGUGAGAGACAGGAUAGUUUGUGACACAGUGGAUAAUGCACUCAGAGAGAGACUGCUCAUAGAGGCUGGACUUACACUGGAAAAGUGUAUCACUAUGUGCAGAGCAGCAGAAACAACUCUAGCACAAGCAAAAGAGCUUCGGAGAGGUGAAACUACAGUGCAUGCAGUACAUAAAGAACAGAGAAAUAAGAAAACAUUUACUAAACAAAAAGACCAGAAAGAGAAAUCUGCAGAAUUCAAAUGUGGUAAAUGUGGAGGCAGCCACAAGCCAAAAUCAUGUCCUGCGUAUGGAAAAUCCUGUAACAACUGUGGAAGGAGCAAUCACUAUGCAAAAUGUUGCAAGUCAGCUUUUAAGCAGAAGGUUCACGCAGUUGGUGAGGAAGAAGAGGAUGAUGGGGAGUUCCUUGUGGAUGUGGUGCAGGCUCGGACUGAUGAAAAAGAGGAAUGGAUUGUGCCAAUCGAAGUGAACAAGACGGUAAUACCAUUCAAGCUAGAUACAGGUGCCCAUGUAAACCUGUUAUCUUAUGAGGAUUACAAGACAUUGGCAGUGAAAAGCAAAAUUCAUCCAAUAAAAACAAAAGUGACAGGAUACACUGGAGAAAGGGUUCCUGUUAAAGGCAGAUGCAUCGCAACCUUCAAAUACAGAGACCAGCAGAUAAGAGCAUUGCUACUGAUUGUGGAUACGAGUGCACAACCAAUCCUGGGACUCAAGGCAUGUACAACCUGGUCAAAAGAGUGUUUGUAGUGACAUCAGAAACUGCCAAUGAUCAUGACUCACUGAUGGAGGAGUAUAAAGACUGCUUCGAAGGACUUGGAUGUCUACCCGGAGAACACAAAAUAUGCAUAGACAAAAGUGUGUCUCCUGUUGUGCAUCCUUGUAGUAAAGUUCCUUUUUGCAUUGCGUGGAAAACUGAAAGAGGAACUUGCGCGCAUGGAAAAACUAAAGGUCAUCAAGAAAAUACAUGAGCCAACUGAAUGGGUCAGCUCGCUGGUUGUAGUACAAAAGAAAACCGGUGCUCUGAGAACGUGCUUGGACCCAAGAGACUUAAACAAAGCGAUCAAAAGAGAGCACUUUUAAGUUACCAACCAGAGAAGAAAUCAUGACACAGUUUGCUGGAGCUAAAUGGUUCAGCAAACUAGACGCUUCAUCAGGUUUCUGGCAGCUGAGGCUGGACGAGGAGAGUUUGAAGCUGUGCACAUUCAACACACCUGAGGGCAGGUACAGGUUUCUUCGUCUGCCGCAUGGUAUCCGGUCAGCGCCUGAAGUCUACCAUAAGACUAUUCAUAUGAUCUUUGAGCACAUACCAGGAGUGGAGACAAUGAUGGAUGACGUCAUAGUCUGGGGGUCGACUCGAGAAGAACACGACGAAAGACUGAGACAAGUCCUAGACAAGACAAGGGAAGUGAAUCUGAAGCUUAAACCUCUGGUGUCCAUCAUGUCCAAACCUCUGAAUGACUGUCCUGUACGGAUACAGCGCAUGCUAAUCAGGCUGCAAAAAUAUGACAUACACAUGAUAUACACACAAGGGAAAUACAUGUACACCGCCGACACCUUGUCUAGAGCAGUGGAUAAGGGGGAGCGUGCGGACAGCGAAGACACUGCAGAAAUCCAGGCGUAUGUGGAUAUGAUUGUGUUGAAUCUGCCGGUAACAGCUGACAGAACAGAACAAAUACGCAGAGAGACAAAUGCAGAUGAAACGAUGACAGAACUCAAACGCACAAUACAGACAGGAUGGCCUGAAAACAAAAGGGAUUGCCCCACAAAAAUACAAGACUACUGGAACUGUAGAUCUGAGCUCAGUGUGGUGGAUGACUUAGUGUUGAAGGGGAGCAAGUUUGUUAUUCCAUCAUCGUUACGUAAACAAAUGCUCCAAAAGAUACACAAAGGCCACCUCGGAGAAGUCAAGUGUAAACGGCGGGCAAGAGAAGUAAUGUACUGGCCGAGAUUCAAUCAAGAUAUCAGCCAGACAACAGCGUCGUGUGAGCUAUGUCGCAUCUACAGGCCAAAACAACAAGCUGAGCCGCUGAUGACUCAUCCGGUGCCCCACAGACCGUACUACAAGGUUGGUACUGAUCUAUUUGACUGUGAUGGAAAGAGUUAUAUAGUGGUCACUGACUACUUUUCAAAUUAUCCAGAAGUUGGAGCGCUGCAGUCAACAUCAAGCAAAGCAGUCAUCAGCUACCUCAAGACUGUCUUUGCCAGGCAUGGAGUGCCAUGUGAACUGUUUUCAGACAAUGGGCCCCAGUUUUCCAGCUGUGAGUUUGCUGCCUUUGCCAGGGAAUGGGGGUUUCAACACUCAACAUCGAGUCCAACCUAUCCAUGGUUGAUGAAUCAAACUCACCUACAGCCACUGAUCAGACCAGUUCAGCUGAAAUGACUCCUCAUACUCCAGCUGUAAAACAACCAGAGGUCUUCAUCACAACAUCGUCACAUGAUGCUCCUCACAAUGAAUCAGAAUCAACUGCUCAAGUCAUAAACCCUGUUCUCAGUGAUCCAUCUGACGACAUAUUGACAGCAGAGUCCAGUGACAUCAUCUUUACAUCAUCGGUGAGACAACAAGAGGUCAUAAACUCCAAUGAACCAGAACUGUCAACUAAAUCCACUUUCCUCCCAUCACAUGAUGCUUCUCUCAAAGUAUUUCUUCCUCAGUAGAAAAUACUGUUGCCAGUAAUCUACCUGAUGUUCUAUUACACGAAUCUCAUGCAAACUGACAAAGUGUGAUAAAAACGAAAGGAGAAAAAUGAAGAGAUGAAUGAUGAUCUCAGUGAAAACUCAACAAAGAAAAGAGAUUCAGAAAAGGGAAAAAUAUGCUUCAAAUAAAGCAUAUAAAGCAGACAAGAUAUCUCACGCAAAAAGGCAAUACCAGAACAACCCUGAAUUUAGACAAAAGAAAAUAAAUAAUACAAGAGCCAACGUUGACUUGAAGCAAAAACGGAAAGAGUACAUUUACUCCCGGUACAGAAAAGAUGCUGAUUUUAGACAGAAAAAAAAACAGAUCUUUGUCUCUCGUUACAGAAAUAAUCCUGAUUUUAGAGAGAAACAAAAACAGCACUUUGUGGGCCGCUACCAAGAGAAUGCUGAGUUUAGAAAGGAAAAAAAGCUGUACUUCACUGCCUUUUACAAAAACAGCAUUGAUUUUAGAGAAAGGUAGAGAUCUCACAUUAUUCAGCGUUACGCUGAAUGUGACCAGGCAUUCAGGCUAAGACACAAACAACUAAUGAAACAACGAAUGAAAGACAGAUACAAAAACAAUCCUACAUAUCGGAGUAUGCAGAACAUGAGAUGUGCCAUGAAAAUAAAAAGGAAAUACAGAGGGAUAAAUAAACCAACAGAAGAAAGUGACAACAGUUUGAUCAAAGAGGCCAUAUCUGUUUUCAGGUCACAAAUAAAGUCCGGUCCCACUUAUGUUUGCACCGUCUGUCACAAAGCAUAAUUUCCAAACCAAGUGAGACCCUGUAAAAGGUUAAACUAUCUAUGAAAUCCAGACGUGGUUGCAGCAUGCCUGACAGGAAAGUACGUCCAUGUGUGUGAUGACGAGUGCACAGAUGAACAACAGUGCAAUGUGCCUGAUGAGAGAAAGGAAGAGUGGAUCUGUCACACCUGCCACAAUCAUCUUAAAGAUGGAGUCAUGCCAAAACUCGCUGUAGCCAACAACUUGGAGCUCGCUGACAUUCCACCUGAACUGUGUGACCUCAACAUAUUGGAGAGACAUCUCAUAGCCAAGUGCAUAGCGUUUGCAAAGAUCAAUCCUCUUCCUAAAGGACGACAGAGAGCGAUACAUGGCAACGUGGUUUGUGUCCCGUCUGAGGUGCAGGAAACAGUGGAAGCGUUACCCAGACUGAGAAGUGAGUCUCAAGUGAUGAGAGUAAAGCUGAAGAGACAAUUGUGUUACAGAGGACAUCAGCUGUUCCAGACUGUCACCUGGUCUAAACUAGUGCAGGCGCUGCAUAAAUUCAAACGCAUUCAUCCACAAUAUCAGGACAUUACUAUCAGAGAUGAGGCUGAGCUUUGUGACCCAACACUUCCUGAUGAAGAUGAGGAUGAUGAUGAUGAUGAUGCCACUAUGGAUGACAACGACUAUGAUGAUGCUGAUUUAAAGGAAAUUGACAUGUGUGAGAUAAGUGCACUGUGUGAGACAGAAACUGAGCUUGAUGGAGAGCAGGAUGUUGACAUGUUGUCUUGUGAUGGUGAACAACCAAAGGAGCAGAGAGAUGAUGAAGAACAGGAAGGUGACAUGCCUAACGGUGGUUUUGCUCUAGAAUCAUGUCUUCAGCCGUGUGAUGUUUCAUGAUGUUUCAUGAGAUGUGUGCAUCUCUUCUACAAGGCCACCAGACAUCCAGGCGACCUGAAAUCGGACUAAGUAUCUCUU
Molecule: long non-coding RNA, 8395 nt
Organism: Gasterosteus aculeatus aculeatus (three-spined stickleback)
Lineage: Eukaryota; Metazoa; Chordata; Actinopteri; Perciformes; Gasterosteidae
Source: Ensembl